GAUGAACGCUGGCGGCGUGCCUAACACAUGCAAGUCGAACGGAGUUCUUAAGGAAUGCGACUUCGGUCAAAUGACUUUUGAACUUAGUGGCGGACGGGUGAGUAACGCGUGAGCAACCUGCCUUUCAGAGGGGGAUAACAUUUGGAAACAGAUGCUAAUACCGCAUAAGAUUACAGUACCGCAUGAUACAGUGAUCAAAGGAGCAAUCCGCUGAAAGAUGGGCUCGCGUCCGAUUAGAUAGUUGGUGAGGUAACGGCUCACCAAGUCGACGAUCGGUAGCCGGACUGAGAGGUUGAACGGCCACAUUGGGACUGAGACACGGCCCAGACUCCUACGGGAGGCAGCAGUGGGGAAUAUUGCACAAUGGGCGAAAGCCUGAUGCAGCAACGCCGCGUGAGGGAAGACGGUUUUCGGAUUGUAAACCUCUGUUUUCGGUGACGAACAAAUGACGGUAACCGAGUAGGAAGCCACGGCUAACUACGUGCCAGCAGCCGCGGUAAUACGUAGGUGGCAAGCGUUAUCCGGAAUUACUGGGUGUAAAGGGAGCGCAGGCGGGAUAGCAAGUCAGCUGUGAAAACUAUGGGCUCAACCCAUAAACUGCAGUUGAAACUGUUAUUCUUGAGUGGAGUAGAGGCAAGCGGAAUUCCGAGUGUAGCGGUGAAAUGCGUAGAUAUUCGGAGGAACACCAGUGGCGAAGGCGGCUUGCUGGGCUCUAACUGACGCUGAGGCUCGAAAAUGUGGGGAGCAAACAGGAUUAGAUACCCUGGUAGUCCACACUGUAAACG
Molecule: ribosomal RNA, 785 nt
Filed under: uncultured bacterium
Lineage: Bacteria
Description: bacterial SSU rRNA
Rfam family: Bacterial small subunit ribosomal RNA
Source: RNAcentral